Molecule: transfer RNA, 67 nt
Filed under: Lingula anatina
Lineage: Eukaryota; Metazoa; Brachiopoda; Lingulata; Lingulida; Lingulidae
Description: tRNA-Ala
Source: RNAcentral
GGUGCCAUAUUCUAAGUAAGGAAAUCCGAUUUGCACCCGGAAAGUGGUAUUAAUUUACCUGGCGCCU